UACGAAGGGGACUAGCGUUGUUCGGAAUCACUGGGCGUAAAGCGCACGUAGGCGGCGGACACAGUCAGACGUGAAAUUCCUGGGCUCAACCUGGGGGCUGCGUUUGAUACAUGUUCGCUUGAGUUCGGAAGAGGGUCGUGGAAUUCCCAGUGUAGAGGUGAAAUUCGUAGAUAUCGGGAGGAACACCUGUGGCGAAAGCGGCUCACUGGACCAUAACUGACGCUGAUGCACGAAAGCUGGGGGAGCAAACAGG
This 253-nucleotide ribosomal RNA is filed under the name uncultured bacterium. Its description in RNAcentral is "partial 16S ribosomal RNA". It matches the Rfam family "Bacterial small subunit ribosomal RNA", at positions 524 to 776 of the family's 1533-position model. The record is from RNAcentral.